CCUACGGGGGGCAGCAGUGGGGAAUAUUGGACAAUGGGGGGAACCCUGAUCCAGCCAUGCCGCGUGUGUGAAGAAGGCCCUCGGGUUGUAAAGCACUUUCAGUGAGGAAGAACGCCUGGUGGUUAAUACCCAUCAGGAAAGACAUCACUCACAGAAGAAGCACCGGCUAACUCCGUGCCAGCAGCCGCGGUAAUACGGAGGGUGCGAGCGUUAAUCGGAAUUACUGGGCGUAAAGCGCGCGUAGGUGGCUUGAUAAGCCGGUUGUGAAAGCCCCGGGCUCAACCUGGGAACGGCAUCCGGACCUGUCAAGCUAGAGUGCAGGAGAGGAAGGUAGAAUUCCCGGUGUAGCGGUGAAAUGCGUAGAGAUCGGGAGGAAUACCAGUGGCGAAGGCGGCCUUCUGGACUGACACUGACACUGAGGUGCGAAAGCGUGGGUAGCAAACAGGAUUAGAUACCCUGGUAGUC
Molecule: ribosomal RNA, 465 nt
Filed under: Vreelandella stevensii
Lineage: Bacteria; Pseudomonadati; Pseudomonadota; Gammaproteobacteria; Oceanospirillales; Halomonadaceae
Description: partial 16S ribosomal RNA
Rfam family: Bacterial small subunit ribosomal RNA
Source: RNAcentral